UGGGGAAUAUUGGACAAUGGGCGCAAGCCUGAUCCAGCAAUGCCGCGUGGGUGAAGAAGGUCUUCGGAUUGUAAAGCCCUUUCGACGGGGACGAUGAUGACGGUACCCGUAGAAGAAGCCCCGGCUAACUUCGUGCCAGCAGCCGCGGUAAUACGAAGGGGGCUAGCGUUGCUCGGAAUGACUGGGCGUAAAGGGCGCGUAGGCGGAUGGGACAGUCAGAUGUGAAAUUCCUGGGCUUAACCUGGGGCUGCAUUUGAUACGUGUUGUCUAGAGUUCGGAAGAGGGUCGUGGAAUUCCCAGUGUAGAGGUGAAAUUCGUAGAUAUUGGGAAGAACACCGGUGGCGAAGGCGGCGACCUGGUCCUGGACUUGACGCUGAGGCGCGAAAGCGUGGGGAGCAAAACA
Molecule: ribosomal RNA, 403 nt
Filed under: uncultured Acetobacteraceae bacterium
Lineage: Bacteria; Pseudomonadati; Pseudomonadota; Alphaproteobacteria; Acetobacterales; Acetobacteraceae
Description: bacterial SSU rRNA
Rfam family: Bacterial small subunit ribosomal RNA
Source: RNAcentral